This 497-nucleotide ribosomal RNA is filed under the name uncultured bacterium. RNAcentral describes it as "partial 16S ribosomal RNA". It matches the Rfam family "Bacterial small subunit ribosomal RNA", at positions 28 to 507 of the family's 1533-position model. The record is from RNAcentral.
GAUGAACGCUGGCGGCGUGCCUAAUACAUGCAAGUCGAGCGAACGGACGAGAAGCUUGCUUCUCUGAUGUUAGCGGCGGACGGGUGAGUAACACGUGGAUAACCUACCUAUAAGACUGGGAUCACUUCGGGAAACCGGCGCUAAUACCGGAUAAUAUUUUGAACCGCAUGGUUCAAAAGUGAAAGACGGUCUUGCUGUCACUUAUAGAUGGAUCCGCGCUGCAUUAGCUAGUUGGUAAGGUAACGGCUUACCAAGGCAACGAUGCAUAGCCGACCUGAGAGGGUGAUCGGCCACACUGGAACUGAGACACGGUCCAGACUCCUACGAGAGGCAGCAGUAGGGAAUCUUCCGCAAUGGGCGAAAGCCUGACGGAGCAACGCCGCGUGAGUGAUGAAGGUCUUCGGAUCGUAAAACUCUGUUAUUAGGGAAGAACAUAUGUGUAAGUAACUGUGCACAUCUUGACGGUACCUAAUCAGAAAGCCACGGCUAACUACGUG